GACGAACGCUGGCGGCGUGCCUAAUACAUGCGAGUCGAACGCUGAAGGAGGAGCUUGCUCUUCUGGAUGAGUUGCGAACGGGUGAGUAACGCGUAGGUAACCUGCCUGGUAGCGGGGGAUAACUAUUGGAAACGAUAGCUAAUACCGCAUAAAAUUGAUUAUUGCAUGAUAGUCAAUUAAAAGGUGCAAUUGCAUCACUACCAGAUGGACCUGCGUUGUAUUAGCUAGUUGGUGAGGUAACGGCUCACCAAGGCAACGAUACAUAGCCGACCUGCGAGGGUGAUCGGCCACACUGGGACUGAGACACGGCCCAGACUCCUACGGGAGGCAGCAGUAGGGAAUCGUCGGCAAUGGACGGAAGUCUGACCGAGAAACGCCGCGUGAGGGAAGAAGGUUUUCGGAUCGUAAAGCUCUGUUGUAAGAGAAGAACGAGUGUGAGAGUGGAAAGUUCACACUGUGACGGUAGCUUACCAGAAAGGGACGGCUAACUACGUG
RNAcentral lists this ribosomal RNA (495 nucleotides) under uncultured bacterium. Its description in RNAcentral is "partial 16S ribosomal RNA". It matches the Rfam family "Bacterial small subunit ribosomal RNA", at positions 28 to 507 of the family's 1533-position model. The record is from RNAcentral.